AAAGUUCGAUCCUGGCUUAGGAUGAACGAUGGCAACAUGCUUAACACAUAUAAGUCGGAUGGAAAGUGGUGUUUCUAGUGGCAGACGGGUGAGUAACGCAUAAGAACCUGCCCUUGGGAGGAGAACAACGGCUUGAAACGGCUGCUAAUACCCCGUAGGCUGAGGAGCAAAAGGAGGAAUCCACUCGAUAAGGGGCUUGCGUCUGAUUAGCUAGUUGGUAAGGCAAUAGCUUACCAAGAUAAUGAUCAGUAGCUAGUCCGAGAGGAUGAUCAGACACUGGAACUGAGACACGUCCCAUACUCCUACGGGAGGCAGCAGUGAGGGAUUUUAUGCAAUGGGCGAAAUCUUGACAGAGCAAUGCCGCAUGGAGGUAGAAAGCCCACGGGUCGUGAACUUCUUUUCCCGGAGAAGAAGAAAUAACGGUAUCUAGGGAAUAAGUAUCGGCUAACUCUGUGUCAGCAGCAAUGGUAAGACAGAGGAUGUAAGCGUUAUCUGGAAUGAUUGGUCGUAAAGCGUCUAUCGGUGGCUUUUUAAGUCCGUCAUCUAAUCCCAAGGCUCAACCCUGGACAGGCGAUGGAAACUACGAAGCUGGAAUACGGUAGGGAUAGAGAGAAUUUCAGGUGGAGCGGUGAAAUGCGUAGAGAUCGAAAAGAAAACCAACUGCGAAAGCACUCUGCUAGGCCGACACUGACACUGAGAGACGAAAGCUAAGGGAGCGAAUGAGAUUAGAUAUCCCAGUAGUCCUAACCGUAAAUGAUGGAUACUAGGCGAUGUGCGUAUCGACCCGUGCAAUGCUGUAGCUAACGCGUUAAGUAUCCCACCUGAGGAGUACGUUCGCAAGAAUGAAACUCAAAGGAAUUGACGGGGGGCCACACAAGCGGUGGAGCAUUGGUUUAAUUCGAUGUAAAGCGAAGAACCUUACCAGGGCUUGACAUGUCGCGAAUCCUCUUGAAAGAGAGGGGUGCCUUCGGGAAUGCGAACACGGGUGGUGCAUGGCUGUCGUUAGCUCGUGCCGUAAGGUGUUAGGUUAAGUCUCGCAACGAGCGCAACCCUUGUGUUUAGUUGUCAUCGUUGAGUUCGGAACCCUGAAUGAAUUGUCGGUGAUAAGCCGGAGGAAGGUGAGGAACCCUUAUGCCCUGAGCGACGUACAUCAAGGUAUAACAAAUAAAGACAUAAGAUAAGUCUCUUUUGGAGACAUGUGGCUUCAUUUUGAUUUAAAGCAUUAUGGGGAUCGAUAUGAAUUAACACAAUUUUUUAUCACGUUUGGUGCUAAAUUCAUACUACAUACUACCACAUUGGUUGGAAGAUGGGGAUCCAUGUCGAUAAGGAAGUUAGCAUUUGUAGUUUUGGAGCGGUCUUACAUCGUUUAAAUGGUGUAACGACUUCUA
Molecule: ribosomal RNA, 1388 nt
Filed under: Fraxinus excelsior (European ash)
Lineage: Eukaryota; Viridiplantae; Streptophyta; Magnoliopsida; Lamiales; Oleaceae
Description: bacterial SSU rRNA
Rfam family: Bacterial small subunit ribosomal RNA
Source: RNAcentral